GCCCGAGUUGUCUAAUGGUCAUGAUAUCGCUUUCCGGAGGCGGAGGUUGCGGGUUCGAAUCCCGUCUCGGGUU
This 73-nucleotide transfer RNA is filed under the name Schizophyllum commune H4-8. RNAcentral describes it as "tRNA-Arg (CCG) (tRNA-Arg-CCG-2-1)". It matches the Rfam family "tRNA". Rfam says of the family: Transfer RNA (tRNA) molecules are approximately 80 nucleotides in length. Their secondary structure includes four short double-helical elements and three loops (D, anti-codon, and T loops). The record is from RNAcentral. Lineage: Eukaryota; Fungi; Basidiomycota; Agaricomycetes; Agaricales; Schizophyllaceae.